Non-coding RNA from Desmophyllum pertusum, 76 nucleotides. The record is from the annotation of a GenBank genome assembly. Lineage: Eukaryota; Metazoa; Cnidaria; Anthozoa; Scleractinia; Caryophylliidae.
GACGUGGUGGCCUAAUGGUUAGCGUGUUGGACACAUCCUGAUCGAGCGGUCCAGGUUCGAGCCCUGGCUGGGGUCA